UGAGGAAUAUUGGUCAAUGGGCGUAAGCCUGAACCAGCCAUCCCGCGUGCAGGAAGACGGCGCUAUGCGUUGUAAACUGCUUUUCCAGGGGGUGAAACUCUCGUACGAGUACGGGAUUGACGGUACCCUGGGAAUAAGCAUCGGCUAACUCCGUGCCAGCAGCCGCGGUAAUACGGAGGAUGCGAGCGUUAUCCGGAUUUAUUGGGUUUAAAGGGUGCGUAGGCGGAUUGAUAAGUCAGGGGUGAAAACCUGCAGCUUAACUGUAGACUUGCCUUUGAUACUGUCAGUCUUGAGUGUGGUCAAGGUAGGCGGAAUGUGUAAUGUAGCGGUGAAAUGCUUAGAUAUUACACAGAACACCGAUUGCGAAGGCAGCUUGCUGGACCAUUACUGACGCUGAUGCACGAAAGCGUGGGGAUCGAACAGGAUUAGAUACCCUGGUAGUCCACGCCGUAAACGAUGAUCACUCGCUGUUAGCGAUACAC
RNAcentral lists this ribosomal RNA (482 nucleotides) under uncultured Bacteroidota bacterium. RNAcentral's name for it is "bacterial SSU rRNA". It matches the Rfam family "Bacterial small subunit ribosomal RNA", at positions 355 to 834 of the family's 1533-position model. Lineage: Bacteria; Pseudomonadati; Bacteroidota. The record is from RNAcentral.